Molecule: long non-coding RNA, 177 nt
Organism: Homo sapiens (human)
Lineage: Eukaryota; Metazoa; Chordata; Mammalia; Primates; Hominidae
Exons: 3
Source: RefSeq, a predicted model, not a curated record
AGCUACAUGUGUCCAGAGGCUGCUGUAUGGAACCGCAUCGUUUUGGACAAAAAGAGGCCUAACAAGCAACUUUUCUUCCAGCUCCACUGGGGAAGCCUUAUACAGGUGGAAGAAUUCAGCUCUUAGUGGUUUGGAUCCAUAAACGGACAUGUGGCUAUGGCCUCCCUAAGCAUCAAU